CACUCCUGCGGGAGGCAGCAGUGGGGAAUAUUGGACAAUGGGCGCAAGCCUGAUCCAGCCAUGCCGCGUGAGUGAUGAAGGCCCUAGGGUUGUAAAGCUCUUUCACCGGUGAAGAUAAUGACGGUAACCGGAGAAGAAGCCCCGGCUAACUUCGUGCCAGCAGCCGCGGUAAUACGAAGGGGGCUAGCGUUGUUCGGAUUUACUGGGCGUAAAGCGCACGUAGGCGGACUAUUAAGUCAGGGGUGAAAUCCCGGGGCUCAACCCCGGAACUGCCUUUGAUACUGGUAGUCUUGAGUUCGAGAGAGGUGAGUGGAAUUCCGAGUGUAGAGGUGAAAUUCGUAGAUAUUCGGAGGAACACCAGUGGCGAAGGCGGCUCACUGGCUCGAUACUGACGCUGAGGUGCGAAAGCGUGGGGAGCAAACAGGAUUAGAUACCCUAGUAGUCCCAU
RNAcentral lists this ribosomal RNA (448 nucleotides) under uncultured organism. RNAcentral's name for it is "partial 16S ribosomal RNA". It matches the Rfam family "Bacterial small subunit ribosomal RNA", at positions 334 to 798 of the family's 1533-position model. The record is from RNAcentral.